UGACAGAGAGGGAGCAAGAGGGAGAGUAUAAGCAGGGAGAGGGGCGGAGGGAGAGGGAGAGGGACUCCAUCCCAGGACCCCAGGAUCAUGACCUGAGCCUAAGGCAGUCGCUUAACCCACUGAGCCAUCCAGGCGCCGGAGAAAGUAGUUUAAAACAUUUUUCAAAGAGUUGGAAGAGCUUUCUGAGCACGGUCAUCAAGGAGCUAGCUUCAACUCGCACCAAAGGUUUCAAAUAAUUACAGCGGCCCCUACUCAUCUGUAGUUUUGCCUUCCGCAGUUUCGUCCCCGGAGGCAAGGAGCAGGGUCCAAGGCUGAUGCUCCGUCUUCCAGCAAAUCAUAGCCUAACGCUUGCACGCCGUGCCUACGUCAUUUCUUCACUUCAUCUCAUCACGGAGGCAUUUUAUCAUCUCAUGUUGUCACAAGAAGAAGGAUGCGACAUUGAAUGUGAUUGUCUUGAGCAUCUCAGCAAACCUUAAGAUAGAAACCUUGAACUGAAUUACUUAGAAAAGGAAGCAAGCUAUUGUUUUACAGAACUAAACUUAAAAAUCUACCAGAAGAAAUAAUAGAAAAUGUAUAUCAUUUUAAAACAAAU
Molecule: long non-coding RNA, 592 nt
Filed under: Mustela putorius furo (domestic ferret)
Lineage: Eukaryota; Metazoa; Chordata; Mammalia; Carnivora; Mustelidae
Description: lncRNA (ENSMPUG00000030962.1)
Source: RNAcentral